CUUCGUCUCCGGAAGUGGGUCGACGCUCAGGGGAAACGCAUUGAUAGCUAAGGUGGCGAAGGCCACGUCCGUCCCAUCGUCGAGCUCCAGCAGGGGGGUUGUGGUGGCGUCGGCAGAGACUGCUGCUGGUGGGUACGCCGCGGCUUUGGCCGAUCUUUCCCAGUCCAACAACGACCUGGAGAAGAUCGCCAAGGACAUGGAGGGUCUGGGUGAGCUCCUGAACAACGACACCUUGUAUAAUUUCUUGGUGUCUCCCAUCAUUGACGGUGACAAGAAGAAGAGCAUUAUCAAGACCGUUGCUGAGGAUGCAGAAUUCAGCGCUGUCACCCUCUCCUUCCUCAACCUCCUGGUGGAUAAGAAGCGGAUUGAUAUCGUCAGGGAAGUCACCAAGGAAUUCGAGGCCAUCUACAACGAGCUCACGGAUACUCAGGUGGCUAAUGUUAUCUCGGCUGUCAAGAUCGAGAAGCCACAGCUUGCCCUCAUCGCCAAGAAGAUUCAGAGUUUGUGUGGCGCGAAGAAUGUGAGGAUCAAGAACGUUGUGGACCCUUCCCUGAUCGCUGGCUUCAUUGUGCAGUAUGGAAAGGACGGCUCCCGCUACAUUGACAUGAGUGUUAAGGGGCAAUUGGAC
Molecule: long non-coding RNA, 628 nt
Filed under: Physcomitrium patens
Lineage: Eukaryota; Viridiplantae; Streptophyta; Bryopsida; Funariales; Funariaceae
Description: long non-coding RNA (PPAT_LNC013808)
Source: RNAcentral